RNAcentral lists this non-coding RNA (27 nucleotides) under Mus musculus (house mouse). Lineage: Eukaryota; Metazoa; Chordata; Mammalia; Rodentia; Muridae. The record is from RNAcentral.
UCACUUACCUGUGCCAGGAGAAGCCUC